Molecule: ribosomal RNA, 484 nt
Filed under: uncultured bacterium
Lineage: Bacteria
Description: partial 16S ribosomal RNA
Rfam family: Bacterial small subunit ribosomal RNA
Source: RNAcentral
AUUGAACGCUGGCGGCAGGCUUAACACAUGCAAGUCGAGCGGGGGAAGGUAGCUUGCUACCGGACCUAGCGGCGGACGGGUGAGUAAUGCUUAGGAAUCUGCCUAUUAGUGGGGGACAACAUCUCGAAAGGGAUGCUAAUACCGCAUACGUCCUACGGGAGAAAGCAGGGGAUCUUCGGACCUUGCGCUAAUAGAUGAGCCUAAGUCGGAUUAGCUAGUUGGUGGGGUAAAGGCCUACCAAGGCGACGAUCUGUAGCGGGUCUGAGAGGAUGAUCCGCCACACUGGGACUGAGACACGGCCCAGACUCCUACGGGAGGCAGCAGUGGGGAAUAUUGGACAAUGGGGGGAACCCUGAUCCAGCCAUGCCGCGUGUGUGAAGAAGGCCUUAUGGUUGUAAAGCACUUUAAGCGAGGAGGAGGCUACUUUAGUUAAUACCUAGAGAUAGUGGACGUUACUCGCAGAAUAAGCACCGGCUACUCUGUG